AGAAAAGUAAGCUAAAUAAAGCUAAUGGGUUCAUACCCCAUAAAUAGAGUAUUAACCUCUCUUCUCUG
RNAcentral lists this transfer RNA (68 nucleotides) under Hospitalitermes hospitalis. RNAcentral describes it as "tRNA-Met". The record is from RNAcentral. Lineage: Eukaryota; Metazoa; Arthropoda; Insecta; Blattodea; Termitidae.